RNAcentral lists this ribosomal RNA (433 nucleotides) under uncultured bacterium. Its description in RNAcentral is "partial 16S ribosomal RNA". It matches the Rfam family "Bacterial small subunit ribosomal RNA", at positions 29 to 507 of the family's 1533-position model. The record is from RNAcentral.
AACGAACGCUGGCGGCAUGCCUAACACAUGCAAGUCGAACGAGACCUUCGGGUCUAGUGGCGCACGGGUGCGUAACGCGUGGGAACCUGCCCUUAGGUUCGGAAUAACUCCCCGAAAGGGGUGCUAAUACCGGAUAAUGUCUUCGGACCAAAGAUUUAUCGCCUUUGGAUGGGCCCGCGUUGGAUUAGCUAGUUGGUAGGGUAAAAGCCUACCGAGGCGACGAUCCAUAGCUGGUCUGAGAGGAUGAUCAGCCACACUGGGACUGAGACACGGCCCAGACUCCUACGGGAGGCAGCAGUGGGGAAUAUUGGACAAUGGGCGAAAGUCUGAUCCAGCAAUGCCGCGUGAGUGAUGAAGGCCUUAGGGUUGUAAAGCUCUUUUACCCGGGAUGAUAAUGACAGUACCGGGAGAAUAAGCUCCGGCUAACUCCGUG